RNAcentral lists this ribosomal RNA (484 nucleotides) under uncultured bacterium. RNAcentral's name for it is "partial 16S ribosomal RNA". It matches the Rfam family "Bacterial small subunit ribosomal RNA", at positions 30 to 507 of the family's 1533-position model. The record is from RNAcentral.
AUUGAACGCUGGCGGCAGGCCUAACACAUGCAAGUCGAGCGGAUGAAGGGAGCUUGCUCCUGGAUUCAGCGGCGGACGGGUGAGUAAUGCCUAGGAAUCUGCCUGGUAGUGGGGGAUAACGUCCGGAAACGGGCGCUAAUACCGCAUACGUCCUGAGGGAGAAAGUGGGGGAUCUUCGGACCUCACGCUAUCAGAUGAGCCUAGGUCGGAUUAGCUAGUUGGUGGGGUAAAGGCCUACCAAGGCGACGAUCCGUAACUGGUCUGAGAGGAUGAUCAGUCACACUGGAACUGAGACACGGUUCAGGCUCCUACGGGAGGCAGCAGUGGGGAAUAUUGGACAAUGGGCGAAAGCCUGAUCCAGCCAUGCCGCGUGUGUGAAGAAGGUCUUCGGAUUGUAAAGCACUUUAAGUUGGGAGGAAGGGCAGUAAGUUAAUACCUUGCUGUUUUGACGUUACCAACAGAAUAAGCACCGGCUAACUUCGUG